This is a non-coding RNA of Pelobates cultripes (western spadefoot toad), 99 nucleotides long. Lineage: Eukaryota; Metazoa; Chordata; Amphibia; Anura; Pelobatidae. The record is from the annotation of a GenBank genome assembly.
CUCCAGCAGACCCUCCCUCCCAGACCCUCCUACUUCCUGGACAGCAUCCUGGAUGCUGUCCAGGAAGUAGGAGGGUCUGGGAGGGAGGGUCUGCUGGAG